UUUUUUUUUUUUUUUUUCCCAUUUGUUUCUUUCUUCUUCUUCUUCUUCUUUUUUUUCCAGAGCCACACCUGCAGCAUACGGAAGUUCCCAGGCUAGGGGUCGAAUCAGAGCUGCAGCUGCUGGCCUAUACCACAGCCACAGAAUCGCCAGAUCCAAACCGCAUCUGUGACCUACACUGCAGCUUGUGACAAUGCUGCAUCCUUAACCCACUGAGCCAGGCCCAGGAUUGAACCUGCAUCCUCGUAGAUACUAGUCAAGUUCUUAACCUGCUGAGCCCCAGCAGAAACUCCCCCGGCCAUGCUUUCAUUCACGCACUGGCUCUCCUGUUUUCAGAUGCUAGACAAUUUAAUGGCUACUCACUGUCUGCUGAAUCCAUGGGCACAGUGUAUGCAGAUGGGGGUGUAGACAGAUACACAAAUAUUCACACACGUACAUGUGUCCAUAUACAUACGCUAGUCUGAGGGGGCUGGCUGGUGUGAGCCAAAGGAUAAAAGUCACUUUUCAGAGGAGGAUGAAGGAGCAAGUUCAAGGUGACUGAGGAGGACUUCCAUGGGGGGAGAGGGGUGUGAGGUGCCCUGGGGUGUCCCCAGGUGGGGAGAAGGGGGCCAGAGAGGAGAGCAACCUCGAGGCAGAGGCAGGGAGGUGAAUAGUGGGAGGCGAAGCAGAUGGAAGGAAGCGAGCUGUGCCCUUGAACUCUCCUCGGGGGUCUGCUCCCCCCCCCAUCCUGCGAGAGCCCUCUGCCUCCGGUGACUGAGUCUCCCGGUGUCUGCGGCCUCCUACGCCCUCGUGAGCCUGGUCUUCUCGGAAGGAGGCAGGGACCGCUCAAGAGGAUCAGGCCAGCCUUCGCGUCUGCGCCAGGAAAAGCAGUCCCGGCUGUGGCCCUGGCUUCUGGAUCCACGCUGCCUUCUGAGGACCUAGGAGGGGUGAGCUGGCUUCCCACCUCCAGGCUAGCGCUGGUUCCCGGGAAGGGCUUGUGUGGUCUUGCCUCCAGGCGGCAGCUGACAUUGGCUUCCUGGAGCUCUCACAUUGGUCACUCACCCUUUUUUUUGUCUUUUUGUCUUUUCUAGGGUUGCACCUGGGGCAUACGGAGGUUCCCAGGCCAGGGGUGGAAUCGGAGCUCCAGCUGCCAGCCCGCACCAUAGCCACAGCAACACAGGAUCCGAGCCACGUCUGUGACCUACACCAUAACUCAUGGCAACGCCAGAUCCUUAACCCACUGAGCGAGGCCAGGGAUUGAACCUGCAACCUCAUGGUUCCUAGUCGGAUUCAUUCACCACUGAGCAACAGGAACUCCUGUCACUCACUCUUGAGCCCUGUGCCCCGGACCAGCUCAGACCCCAGCUUCUUUCUGGGCCUCAGAUGCUCUGUCUGCGGUUGGUGGUGGGGCCCCUCUAGCAGGUGUUCUGACCACAUCGUCCCCGCAUCCCUCUGCCCUUUGAAGAAAAGCUCAAACGCUUGUCCUGACUUUCAAGCUCCCUGCCGAGCGCCCCAGCCUCAUCUGAAAUAGCCCAGGUCCCUCCGCUCUGCCCUCCUCUCUUGCCCCACUGUUCCCGAGACACAGACAGGGAGGGCCACACAGCCAUUCCCAGCCAGAGACCCGGGCUUCCUCGCCAGCCCCCGUCUUUGCCAUUCCCUUCAGCCAAGGUGCCGCCCAACCCACCUCUUUUCCUCUGAACCCUCGGUGUCCAUCAAGCUCUAGGUCCAGUCUUACAGCUUCCUUUUCUGAUCCCUUAGUUGGGUGGGAUCCCUUCCUCUCCACCCACCCCCCAAUUCUGUGGACCUCUGUUAGGUCAGCGCCGGGCCCGGCCCGCCUGCCCCUCCCCGCACCUGCCCACGGCCCCCGAGUCACACCAACACUCACAGGCAGCCUUCCUGUCCCCGAAGCACCUUGGUGGCCCCGAGUGGGAUGGGUCAAGGCGGGAGGCCGGACACGAGGCUCUCGCGCUUCUGCUCUCACCAGGACUGGGGCACCUCUGAGCGAGCAGCGCCCUUUGUUUCCUGGCAGGGCUGCCUCUGCCUGAAAUAGCCCCUGCGGGGGCCACCCCUCCCUGCCACCCCCCACACCAGAGCCUGACGGAAACUGAAUCUGAGGAGCACGGAGGCGGAGAAAAGGUCUCCUUCCUGGAACCCUCCCCACGCCAGCAGAGGAAAGAGGAGGAUGAGGGGCAGGGAGGGAGGUGCCGGCGGCCCCGGGGCUGCGGGUCUGAGGCCAGCGCCGCAGACCCAGCAGCCUGCUUCGUCCCCAGCCCUCUCCCUGUCUUCUCAUCUGGCAAAUGGGUAGCUGGGUGAUUACACCUCAAAAGCUGUAACCCCAGCGCCAUCUCCCAGUGCCCCCUCCCUGCAGCCCCCCUUUCUUCAUUCACUCAGGGCUCUUUCUUGCCUCUGGGGGGCAGUCCUCGGCCCUCGACGGCGCUCCCUUGUUCGCUCCCUCCUUCCCUCGCCUCCUCUUCGCCGCCAGCAAGUAUUGAGCAGCGACUCUAUGCCAUCAGAGCCUCCCACGUGCCCCUGCAGUCACUGCCCCUCCCAGAGCUCCCUGGGAGGGAGGGGUGGGUUGUGGGGACCCAGAGGUGAUGCCCCGACAACUCGGCCACGUGUGACCCUCCCUGCCCGUGCCAGCCCUCCCUGGUCCCCCAGGCCCUCCUCACCACCGGACCAGGACGCCGACCCCAGUGGUGGGGACAGUGUUCAGGGGGCCACCUGGAGGAGGUGGGCUUUCAUUUGGAGCAGCCGAGGGGACUGUGGGGCGGGGACAGAAUGAUGCAGGGAAAAAUAUCACUGGCCAGGGAGUGAGAGGCCCAGGUUCUUGUCCCACCCUGGCACCUCCUCCCCGUGUGACUCCCUCUUGGAGCCUCCUUGGUACAGUGCGGUCCCGCAGGUGGGCGGCCUGGCAAAGGGAGAGAGGACCCCCUCUCUACCCUGUCAGGGAUAAGCACAGACCUCACCCGCAAACCCAUUUUACAGGCAGGCGGUUGAGGAACUGAGGUGGGACCGAAAGUUUACGCCAAAUGGAGAAAACCCAGACUGGAACUGCCGGUAAACGCUCGGUCAGCUGUGCCGGACUGACCACCUACUGCUUAUUCAAGUCUGUGCUAGGAGGUCGCUUGUGCCAGCGGAGAGCCUGGACCUCCGGGUCUGAUGUGAUCUGGCCCGGGCUCAGGAGGGCAAGGAGGCCUGGCCUUCAGCCCAGCAGCUGGCCCUCCGCUUGACUCCCAGGAUGGACUCCUGGGGUCCCCCUCCACCAGCGUGUCUGUCCCAAGAAUGGGAGGAGCUCCGAGGGCUUCCUGAAGGUGUCAGCCGCAGGGCAGGGCCUGGGUCUCAGUUCCUGCCACGUGGGUGGAGCCCGGGAGGGACAGCUCGGGUGACAGGGAUCCUGGGGGCAUCUGGGAGGGAGGCACCUGGAAGGGCUCCCAGAGAAGGCACAUGGGCUGCUGGGCGGGGGGAAGGUGUCCCCGCUGCAGUGCCAGGAUGCAAGUUUGAUCCCUGGCCUGGCACAGUGGGUUAAAGGAUCCGGCUUUGCCGCAACUGUGGCAUGGGUCACAUCUGUGGCUCGGAUCUGACCCCUGGCCCGGGGAACUCCAUAUGCUGUGGGACGGCCAAAAAAGGAAAAACAAAAUCAAGUGACAUGAAAUAAAAUAAAAGGCUGCGGGAACUUGGACACAUAAAAAGCAUGAAGAGGGCAGGCCAGGCCGGGGCAUGGAGGCAGGGGACGAGUCUACCCUGAGCGAGAAAUGAAGAGCAAGUGUCGCCACCAGAGUGUGGGGUGAGUUGUGCGAAGAGGGGCUCAAAUGGGAAGCCCGAGGGGAUGGGCCUCAAAACCUCAAGCAGAGCCCAGGGGCCACUGCUCUACUCCCAAGCCUGCCGGGGCCCCCGGCUGCCAGCCUGCCCCCGCCCCGGGCUUUCCGGGGGCCUUUCCCGGGCUGCCUCCUCUGCCUGGGACACUUCCACGCACCUUCUCUGAAUAGCUGCACUGUUCGUGUGGUUUUCUCAUCUGUAAGACGAGAGGGAUCACUGGUGCGGACACAGGCUGCUGUCAGAACUAAACGAAACCAUGUGUGUGGGCCGCCCUUGCAGCCAGCGUUUGUCAGGGCAGUGAAUCAAUUCCAGGCCCUGCCCUGGGCUCCCUCGGGUCACCCUAGUGUCCGGUGGUUUCAGGUCUUCAGCACCAGGUGACACUGAUUUCUCAACCGCCCACCCCGUGUCACAUGUUUCACCUGCAGUUCUGGGCAGGCAGUCGUGGGGUGAUACUUUGCAUGGUACCCAUAAAGGAACUAAGGCUCAGGAAGGGCUAGUGAGUGUCCUGAGGUGUCCCAGUCUGGGGGCACUUCAACAAGAUCUUUCUCACUCUACACCCCCUUUUCCACUGUCCCCCAAAGUCCCUGCUCCCCUGCUCCCCACUCCAGAGGAUUCCGCCAGGAAUGUCUUCCCUGCAAUAAGGGCCUUUGGCCAGGAGAUGGCGCCAGGAGACUGCCCGGGGCAGCAGGGGGGGGCGGUGGGGGGCAACUGAUGAGGGCUGAGGGCAGGUCAAUACACAGAGGGGGCCUCCCCUGCAGGGCUGGCACCAAGCAAGCUCAGAGCUGGGUUCCCAACCUCAGGUCCUCCGGACCCAGUUCCCAGCCCUUCUCCCACUUAGGCCCAGAUGAAAUCAAGCCUUGUUCUCAGAUCCCACAUCCGGUCGAUACGGCUCUCAGGAGCCCCCAGGGACCCUGGCAGGGCGCAGGCCUAGUGUGGAGUCUGUCCGGCUGCCAGGGAGCAUUUCCCUGACACCAGGCGUUCAGCACCCACCUCCACUCCAGGUGCACCAUCGGGAGGAACACUGACGCCCCUCACCCCGCAAGGGGUCAACCUCUGCUGGUUUCCGCUUUCAAUUCAGGUUUUCAAUUCAGGCAACAAGGCACGGGGUUGGUUUGCGCCUGCAGCAGAAGCGAUUCCGUUUAGAUGGAAGGAAGAGCUGACCGGGGCCGAAGCUCCGUGGGCUGCUUGGAUCCUAUGGUCUCAGGAUACCCAUGACUCUGCAGCCUCUUCCCAUCCCGAACCCGUCCCCACGGCCCUCGUAUCUGGAAGGGAUGAGGAGGCCUGACAGCCAGAGGUAGGAGCUGGAAGCCUGAGUCACCGUCUGCCAGCCAGCCAGGAACCAGUUCAGACCAGGCUGGACGUGGGAAAAGGCCUCCUAACCUUGGCCUGCCUGCCUUCUGGGAAACACGGCCUGGAAACCCCCCUGUCGGCCCCUGGCCUCCGAGCUUAGUACCAAGGGCACAGGAUGACAGAGAUCGAGACCUGGCUUCCUUCCCCUGAGGAGUCAGACAGCCUACGAUUCAUCACCAACUUGCUGUGUGACCCAGGGUGAGCCACCUACCCUCUCUGAGCCUGAAUCUCCACCUGAAAAAUGGCUUGAUGCCCGAGGCCAGGGCCUGCCUGGCACCCAGAAAACUGAGGGCCGAGGGCAGAGCCACCCCCUCCUGGAGGAGUUUUGGUUUCACCUGUGGUAUCCGGCUGGCCACACAAGCAGACAAACUUGGCAGAGGAGGGCACAGGGAGGGAGGGAAUCUGAUUUCUCUUCUCUUUUUCCACUUCCCCUUCUCACCUCCUGCUCGAUGGGAAUUAAAGCUGGAACUGAAACAAUCCAUUUUGAGCACAAGGAAGGGGAAGCUGCAGCUUCAGGGAAUGUGGGGGUUGAGGCUGCUCCCCUCAGUUUUUCUCUGGCCUCUAGAGGUUGGGCGCAGCAGACACCUGCAUCUCCUGCGGCUCUGCUCUGCCCCAGGCCCCAGCUGCCCAUCAGGGAGUUCGUGUUCUCCCACCCCAGUCGGGGCAGAUGUUGUCAACGUGCCAAAAUGCUUCCCAGGCUGCCUCUCAUUCACUCUUCACAGCGACCGCCCCACCUUGUAGGUGCGGAAGCUGAGGCCUGGCAAAGCAAGCAAGAGGGUCUCUCUUGGGCACACGUACGACGAGGUCUCAGAUCAGGGCGACCUGGUGGGCAGAGGGCUGAGAAGUCACAGGGCAGCCUCAGGGUGAGGAAGUGUGGCCUGAGCACAGGGGCCCAGAGAGCAGCGGCCACAGGCAGCCCUGCCAGCAGAGGGACAGUUCACAGCGGCCGGCUUCCCAAGUCCAAGGCCCUGGGGCUGUAGCACCUCCUGCCCAGGGCCCUGGGAGAUCCCAGACCUUCCAAUAAACCCCUGUCCCUGGAGCUGGUAUGAGGGGGUCUCUGCUCCUGGCCUGGACCCCAAGGCUGUCCCUAUGGAGACAUGCCACUUGGAGUCCCUUUCCAGAAAGAACCCGCUGCUUAGCUGCAAGGAGUGCAGCUGGCUGACGGCCUCCCCUGGUGCCUUCAAGACCCGCCCCUCCUCCCAGAUAACCAGGCUCCCGUCCACGGGGGAAGAGAUGGCCCCGGUCCAGCCGCUGGCCUGUCUCACAGGCCAUCAUUGUUCUGUUCCUCUGUACUUUCUCCCACCCAAUUCCCGGAUCCUUCUCAUAAUGACAGCCUCCCCUCCUUCCUCUCCUGGAGUCUUGAGGAUCCAGGAGUGGUGGGCCUGUGACCCAGGCCUGCCGAUGAGACAAGAAUGGGCGCCUCAGGCCCGGAACCAGCUUGGGAUCGGGUGGGUGACCGUCACUGGGUGUCUCAGAUUCUGGAGCUUUUGCUGGAACGUUGAGCCUGGAGCUGCUGGAGGCAGGGGAAUAUGUGCCAGGCACUGUCCUAUGGCUAAAGACACUACCACCAGGGAGGAGAGUGUCCAAAUAAAGCCAAAGGAUGGCAGAGUUGAGAGGUGGGAACAUGUAAGUCCCUGAGAACACCCUUGAGAGCCUGGAUCCAGCUAUACCUGAAGCUUUACUUUUCACUGGAUUUUUUGAAGGCACGAGCUGAUAAAUUCCCUUUUGGCCUCAGUCUCUUUGACCUAGAACUGCCACUUAAAAUCAGAAGUCCUGUCUAUAGUCCUGCACACCCGUGCCUCCCUCUCCUCUUUCAACAGCCUUCGUGACCACCUUUGGCCUGAUACCCCUCAUAUACCUGCGGAGGAAGCUAGAACUGGCUAUGUACAUGGAGGCCACCAGCAGAGGGGCAGGCAGGAUGGAGGGACUGUCAGGUCAAGCCUAGCCUUCAUGGGGGCAACAGGAGGAGCCCCCCCUCCAUUCAUUUUCCAUGAAGAAAGCUCCUCUUCCAUCAGCUUCCACAGUAAUCGCUGCGCCAUCUCAGUAGCUCCUGAGAAGGAAACUAGAAAUCUCAAAUCCAGGCUCUAGUCCUAGAUGCAUCACCCACUGGCGGUGUGGUCCUGGGGAGGCGACCUUAGCUCCCCAAGCCUCACUUUCCCGAACAUCGUCACUGCUGCAGUUUCUCGGUCACUCAGCAGGUGCUAACCCCUGAGCUACGUGCUUUUGAGGCAGAAUCUCUUUUGCUCUUACGGCAGCCCCAUAUGGCGGCCUGUUUACCCCCAUUUUACUAAUAAGGAAGGAGGCUUAGAGAAAGCUAGUGACUUGCCCAAGGAGACCCAGUGAGUCGGCAGUGAGCCAGGACUAGGACAGAGAUCUGAAUAAUGACAAAGUCCACACUCAGGAAGAGAGAGAACCGUUCCCUGGGGGAGAAUCGAGGCCAGAGAAAUCAGGACCUCCCCCAAAGUGCCAGUAAAUCCACCACUCACACCCUGCCUUUCAGGACCACAGUAGCC
Molecule: long non-coding RNA, 7655 nt
Filed under: Sus scrofa (pig)
Lineage: Eukaryota; Metazoa; Chordata; Mammalia; Artiodactyla; Suidae
Description: lncRNA (ENSSSCG00005003500.1)
Source: RNAcentral